This 439-nucleotide ribosomal RNA is filed under the name uncultured bacterium. RNAcentral's name for it is "partial 16S ribosomal RNA". It matches the Rfam family "Bacterial small subunit ribosomal RNA", at positions 339 to 795 of the family's 1533-position model. The record is from RNAcentral.
CUACGGGGUGCACCAGUGAGGAACAUUGCACAAUGGGGGAAACCCUGAUGCAGCAACGCCGCGUGGAGGAUGACGCAUUUCGGUGUGUAAACUCCUUUUAUGAGUCAAGAAAAUGACGGUAGCUCAUGAAUAAGCACCGGCUAACUCCGUGCCAGCAGCCGCGGUAAUACGGAGGGUGCAAGCGUUACUCGGAAUCACUGGGCGUAAAGGACGCGUAGGCGGGCUUGUAAGUCAGGUGUGAAAUCCUACAGCUUAACUGUAGAACUGCACUUGAAACUACGAGCCUAGAGUAUGGGAGGGGCAGAUGGAAUUAGUGGUGUAGGGGUAAAAUCCGUAGAUAUCACUAGGAAUACCGAAAGCGAAGGCGAUCUGCUGGAACAUUACUGACGCUAAGGCGUGAAAGCGUGGGGAGCAAACGGGAUUAGAUACCCUUGUAGUC